This 73-nucleotide transfer RNA is filed under the name Felis catus (domestic cat). It matches the Rfam family "tRNA". From Rfam's summary of the family: Transfer RNA (tRNA) molecules are approximately 80 nucleotides in length. Their secondary structure includes four short double-helical elements and three loops (D, anti-codon, and T loops). Further hydrogen bonds mediate the characteristic L-shaped molecular structure. tRNAs have two regions of fundamental functional importance: the anti-codon, which is responsible for specific mRNA codon recognition, and the 3' end, to which the tRNAs corresponding amino acid is attached (by aminoacyl-tRNA synthetases). tRNAs cope with the degeneracy of the genetic code in two manners: having more than one tRNA (with a specific anti-codon) for a particular amino acid; and 'wobble' base-pairing, i.e. permitting non-standard base-pairing at the 3rd anti-codon position. The record is from Rfam by way of RNAcentral. Lineage: Eukaryota; Metazoa; Chordata; Mammalia; Carnivora; Felidae.
CCCUGGCUGGCUCAGUCAGUAGAGUAUGCGACUCUUGAUCUCAAGGUCGUGAGUUCAAGCCCCACAUUAGGCA